Molecule: ribosomal RNA, 515 nt
Filed under: Nematoda environmental sample
Lineage: Eukaryota; Metazoa; Nematoda
Also listed under: 1 other name
Description: SSU rRNA
Rfam family: Eukaryotic small subunit ribosomal RNA
Source: RNAcentral
UAUAAGUAUAAACGCUUUAAGCGUGAAACCGCGAACGGCUCAUUACAACAGCUAUAAUUUACUUGAUCUUGACAAACUUACAUGGAUAACUGAGGUAAUUCUUGAGCUAAUACAUGCACCAAAGCUUUGACCGUAAGGGAAGAGCGCAUUUAUUAGAACAAAACCAAACGGCUUCGGCUGUUCCCAGUUGAAUCAGAAUAACUCAGCUGAUCGUACGGUCUUGCACCGACGACGUGUCUUUCAAGUAUCUGCUUUAUCAACUUUCGAUGGUAGGGUAUCUGCCUACCAUGGUGGUGACGGAUAACGGAGGAUCAGGGUUCGACUCCGGAGAAGGGGCCUGAGAAAUGGCCACUACGUCUAAGGAUGGCAGCAGGCGCGCAAAUUACCCACUCUCAGAAUUUGGAGGAGGUAGUGACGAGAAAUAACGAGGUUGAUCUCUUCUGAGGCCAACCAUCGGAAUGGGUACAAUUUAAACCCUUUAACGAGUAUCUAUGAGAGGGCAAGUCUGGUGCCAG